Molecule: long non-coding RNA, 1176 nt
Organism: Triticum urartu
Lineage: Eukaryota; Viridiplantae; Streptophyta; Magnoliopsida; Poales; Poaceae
Source: RefSeq, a predicted model, not a curated record
UGUUGUUUGCUUCUUUCCGGUGUGCUUCUUCGGGUUGGUUCCGUUAACGUCGUGUUUGUGAGGAUUCGUUCGACUUCAUCCGUUUGUCUUCUUCAUGGACUCGUUCUUCUUCCUGAGAUACCGCCUCGACCACGCUCAGUGGAGCUCGCCAUCGAGGCUAGGGCCCAGGAUCUUCUGGCGGAGGCAAAUAGGCAGGCUAAGCAGAGGGAGAUGGAGCUGGACGAGAGGACGACUAGUCUGUUGGAGGCGUAGAGGAACCGGAACGACGCGUCUCACCGGGCCCUAUACGAGCUCCUCGUGUCCGUGUGCGAGAAAAACGGUUAGACCCCUCCGCCGAUGCCCCAGAUUGCUAUAGCGGACACGCAUGCCUCCCGACAAGCAUCGACCGAUCCUUCUCCGUGUCGCACUGGCGCAACCCCGACCCCGACUGGUCCUUCUCCGUCUGGCACUGCCGCAAACCUGACCGGUCCUUCACCUCCGUGAUGACAGUAAGUUUUCUCUAGUGUUUUGCUUACCAAAUGCAUAAAGACCUAGACUUAGCUUUAUUUCCUCCAAAAUGCUUACCAUAAUGACCUAGAUUUAGCUAAUCUUCCUCCAAAAUGACAUAAUUAGCUUACUUAGCUCCAAAAUGAUCUAUACUUAGCUUUGUUUCCUCCGAAAUGACCUAACUUAGCUCUAAUAUGCUAAGUUAUCUCUAAUAUGCUUAGUUAGCUAGGUUUGCUCAAAAAUGACAUACACUUAGCUUACAUAUGUAAAACAUGGCAUAAUUAGCUUACUUAUGUUUGAAAUGGCAUAACAAUCUUGAUAACAUCAUAUAUGUCAUAUAGUUAGCUUAUUUUCCUCGAAAAUGACAUAAUAAGCCUAAUUAGCUCCAAAAUGAUCAAUUUUACCUAAGUUAGCUCCAAAAUGACCUAAGUUAGCUCUAAAAUGCUAAAUUAGCUCUAAUAUGCUUAGUUACCUGGGUUAGCUCAAUAAAGACCUAUAAUUAGCUUACUUAUGUCAAAAAUGGCAUAAGAUGCGUAGUUAACUCAAAAAUGACCAAGUUUACAUAGGUUACCUCCAAUAUGAUCCAUUUUACCUAGGUUAGCUGCAAAAUGACCUAUUUACCUAGCUUAGCUCUAAAAUGACCUACAUACUUGAUACGUCUCCAUCGUAUCUAUUUUUCCAAAUACUUUU